GUUGAUCCCGCCGGACCUGACUGCUAUCGGAUUGAUACUAAGCCAUGCGAGUCAUUGUAGCAAUACAAGGUCAGACGGCUCAGUAACGCGUAGUCAAUCUACCCUAUGGACGGGAAUAACCUCGGGAAACUGAGAAUAAUGCCCGAUAGAACAUUAUGCCUGGAAUGGUUUAUGUUUCAAAUGAUUUAUCGCCAUAGGAUGGGACUGCGGCCUAUCAGUUUGUUGGUGAGGUAAUGGCCCACCAAGACUAUUACAGGUGCGGGCUCUGAGAGGAGUGGCCCGGAGAUGGGUACUGAGACACGGACCCAGGCCCUAUGGGGCGCAGCAGGCGAGAAAACUUUGCAAUGUGCGAAAGCACGACAAGGUUAAUCCGAGAUGGUUUCUGCUAAAGAAACCUUUUGUCAGUCCUAGAAACACUAACGAAUAAGGGGUGGGCAAGUUCUGGUGUCAGCCGCCGCGGUAAAACCAGCACCUCAAGUGGUCAGGAUGAUUAUUGGGCCUAAAGCAUCCGUAGCUCGUUUUGUAAGUUUUCGGUUAAACCCAUACGCUUAACGUAUGGGCUGCCGGGAAUACUGCAUAACUAGGGAGUGGGAGAGGUAAACGGUACUCGGUAGGAAGGGGUAAAAUCCUUUGAUCUAUUGAUGACCACCUGUGGCGAAGGCGGUCUACCAAAACACGUUCGACGGUGACGGAUGAAAGCUGGGGGAGCAACCGGAUUAAAUACCCGGGUACUCCCAGCCUGUAAACUAUGCAACUCAGUGAUGCAUUGGC
This 771-nucleotide ribosomal RNA is filed under the name uncultured archaeon. Its description in RNAcentral is "bacterial SSU rRNA". It matches the Rfam family "Archaeal small subunit ribosomal RNA", at positions 7 to 783 of the family's 1478-position model. The record is from RNAcentral.